Molecule: ribosomal RNA, 439 nt
Filed under: uncultured bacterium
Lineage: Bacteria
Description: partial 16S ribosomal RNA
Rfam family: Bacterial small subunit ribosomal RNA
Source: RNAcentral
CUACGGGAGGCUCCAGUGGGGAAUAUUGCACAAUGGAGGAAACUCUGAUGCAGCAACGCCGCGUGGAGGAUGACACUUUUCGGAGCGUAAACUCCUUUUAUAUAGGAAGAUAAUGACGGUACUAUAUGAAUAAGCACCGGCUAACUCCGUGCCAGCAGCCGCGGUAAUACGGAGGGUGCAAGCGUUACUCGGAAUCACUGGGCGUAAAGAGGGUGUAGGCGGGUUAAUAAGUCAGAAGUGAAAUCCUAUGGCUCAACCAUAGAACUGCUUUUGAAACUGUUAACCUAGAGUGUGGGAGAGGUAGAUGGAAUUUCUGGUGUAGGGGUAAAAUCCGUAGAGAUCAGAAGGAAUACCGAUUGCGAAGGCGAUCUACUGGAACAUAACUGACGCUGAGACGCGAAAGCGUGGGGAGCAAACAGGAUUAGAUACCCCAGUAGUC